GACGAACGCUGGCGGCGUGCUUAACACAUGCAAGUCGAACGGUGAAGCGCCUUCCUUUUUGGUGGGUGUGGAUGAGUGGCGAACGGGUGAGUAACACGUGAGUAACCUGCCCCCUUCUUCUGGAUAACCGCAUGAAAGUGUGGCUAAUACGGGAUAAUCUGGGUCUGUCGCAUGAUGGGUCUGGGAAAGAUAUUGUUUCGGUGGGGGAUGGGCUCGCGGCCUAUCAGCUUGUUGGUGGGGUGAUGGCCUACCAAGGCGGUGACGGGUAGCCGGCCUGAGAGGGUGGACGGUCACACUGGGACUGAGACACGGCCCAGACUCCUACGGGAGGCAGCAGUGGGGAAUAUUGCACAAUGGGCGCAAGCCUGAUGCAGCGACGCCGCGUGAGGGAUGGAGGCCUUCGGGUUGUGAACCUCUUUCGCCAGUGAAGCAGGCCUGCCUCGUUUGUGGGUGGGUUGACGGUAGCUGGAUAAGAAGCGCCGGCUAACUACGUG
This 494-nucleotide ribosomal RNA is filed under the name uncultured bacterium. RNAcentral describes it as "partial 16S ribosomal RNA". It matches the Rfam family "Bacterial small subunit ribosomal RNA", at positions 28 to 507 of the family's 1533-position model. The record is from RNAcentral.